This 467-nucleotide ribosomal RNA is filed under the name uncultured bacterium. RNAcentral describes it as "partial 16S ribosomal RNA". It matches the Rfam family "Bacterial small subunit ribosomal RNA", at positions 28 to 506 of the family's 1533-position model. The record is from RNAcentral.
GACGAACGCUGGCGGCGUGCUUAACACAUGCAAGUCGAACGGAAAGGCCCUGCUUUUGUGGGGUGCUCGAGUGGCGAACGGGUGAGUAGCACGUGAGUAACCUGCCCUUGACUUUGGGAUAACUUCAGGAAACUGGGGCUAAUACCGGAUAGGAGCUCCUGCUGCGUGGUGGGGGUUGGAAAGUUUCGGCGGUUGGGGAUGGACUCGCGGCUUAUCAGCUUGUUGGUGGGGUAGUGGCUUACCAAGGCUUUGACGGGUAGCCGGCCUGAGAGGGUGACCGGCCACAUUGGGACUGAGAUACGGCCCAGACUCCUACGGGAGGCAGCAGUGGGGAAUAUUGCACAAUGGGCGGAAGCCUGAUGCAGCAACGCCGCGUGCGGGAUGACGGCCUUCGGGUUGUAAACCGCUUUCGCCUGUGACGAAGCGUGAGUGACGGUAAUGGGUAAAGAAGCACCGGCUAACUACGU